AGCAGUAGGGAAUCUUCCACAAUGGGCGCAAGCCUGAUGGAGCAACACCGCGUGAGUGAAGAAGGGUUUCGGCUCGUAAAGCUCUGUUGUUGGAGAAGAACGUGCGUGAGAGUAAUUGUUCACGCAGUGACGGUAUCCAACCAGAAAGUCACGGCUAACUACGUGCCAGCAGCCGCGGUAAUACGUAGGUGGCAAGCGUUAUCCGGAUUUAUUGGGCGUAAAGCGAGCGCAGGCGGUUGCUUAGGUCUGAUGUGAAAGCCUUCGGCUUAACCGAAGAAGUGCAUCGGAAACCGGGCGACUUGAGUGCAGAAGAGGACAGUGGAACUCCAUGUGUAGCGGUGGAAU
RNAcentral lists this ribosomal RNA (345 nucleotides) under Limosilactobacillus reuteri. RNAcentral describes it as "bacterial SSU rRNA". It matches the Rfam family "Bacterial small subunit ribosomal RNA", at positions 350 to 687 of the family's 1533-position model. The record is from RNAcentral. Lineage: Bacteria; Bacillati; Bacillota; Bacilli; Lactobacillales; Lactobacillaceae.